This is a long non-coding RNA of Pygocentrus nattereri (red-bellied piranha), 920 nucleotides long. RefSeq lists it as uncharacterized. The transcript is spliced from 4 exons. Lineage: Eukaryota; Metazoa; Chordata; Actinopteri; Characiformes; Serrasalmidae. The record is from RefSeq and is a predicted model, not a curated record.
CUGAGGUCUGUAUUACUGCGCCACGUCACUAAACUCCUUGUGCUGUUAGUGGAUUAAUAUUAAUCUCUGACUCUAAUGCCGCUCGCCUGGACGUCCGAGUGUACUGACGAGUUUCUUAAUGGAAGUCCAAGACGUGACCUGUCAGGCCUUGAAUGGUGUGGAAUGACCUCAACGGAAAUGUUUCAGUUCUUCAGCUGUGCUUUCUGGACUGUGGUUUGUUUAGGACAAUCACAUCACUGCAUAUUUUACUGACCCGUCAUGCAGAAGGGAAACCGUGCAGCGAAGCCUUCAGACUGAGUGCGCAGGCUGCGGAUAGAUUCACCAGCGUUGCUGCCAAAUACUUCAACGAGGCCAAAAGCCCAGCAAAUGGCACUUAAGUUUGCACCAGUCUGCAGAGCGCAUUGGCAUGCCUUUCUCUGUCCUUGAUGAAUGAAUCAGAGAUUCAGAGGCUGUCGGGGUGCAACUAAGGACAGAAGGUGUGCGAGUGCAGAGGUAAAGAGUUAGAGCACUGUGUGUGUUGGUUGAAGAGCAGCUGCCACGCUACGUCUCAGAGGUGACGCAUAGGAAAUGAUCGUGUGGCUGGACCCAUCUCAGUGUCACAUCAACAGGUUAUUAGAUUUAAGAAGGAAGCAAUACACCCAGAAGAGGAUGAGAUGGUGCCAGGUGAGGGGGUGGAUGCUGAGCCUGGACCGAGUGAUGCGGAUCGAAGAGAGACGAAAGAGACUGUGGAAGGAGGCUCCACCCUGGACUGGCCAGCAGCAGAGGUGGCCCAGUCGGAAACUCGAGGGACAAUCUCAGAAAAAAUGUCCUCCAACAAUUUUUUUUUUCUUAAGUUAGCAUCUGCAAGGAAUUCAUGACUAUUUGUGCCACUUUCAUUGUUCAUCAGAUGAUCACACACAACAGUGGUACUCUCUGAUGGC